AGAGUUUGAUCCUGGCUCAGGACUAACGCUGGCGGCGUGCUUAACACAUGCAAGUCUAACGAGAAAGCGGUAGCAAUAUCGUGAGUAAAGUGGCGAACGGGUGAGUAACACGUAACCAAUCUGCCUUGAAGAGGAGGAAAACUGAGGGAAACUUUAGCUAAUCCUCCAUAAUGUGGUGCCUAUCGCAUGAGAACAUCAUUAAAGAUUUACUCGCUUCGGGAAGAGGUUGCGUCUGAUUAGCUAGUUGGCGGGGUAAAGGCCACCAAGGCGACGAUCAGUAGCUGGUCUGAGAGGAUGAUCAGCCACACUGGGACUGAGAUACGGCCCAGACUCCUACGGGAGGCCACAGUGAGGAAUAUUGCGCAAUGAUUGAAUGCAUGACGCAGCUUCCCCGCGUGUUCCAUGAAGGCUUUACGUACUGAGACUACUGUUGGAGCGGAACUAGCUGAGGGUAACGCCAGGGGUGAUCGUACACUCAGAGGAACUACCCGGGGUAUCUAAUCCUGUUUGCUCCGCAUGAUUCUCGUUCGUCAGCGUCAGUAACAAGAUUACUGAGCCGCCAUGCGCUACUGGGGGUGCUUCACAAUCUCUACGCAUUUUCACCGACUACACUGGGGAUUUCCUCUCAUCUCUUUUGUCUCACUAGCAACAGAAUCAACGGAUAGUCCCGUUGAUACUGUUGUUCUUGAGUACAAGAAGAGAUGAGUGGAAUUCCCAGUGUAGCGGUGAAAUGCGUAGAGAUUGGGAAGAACACCAGUAGCGAAGGCGGCUCAUUAGCUUGUUACUGACGCUGAGGAACGAAAGCAUGGGGAGCAAACAGGAUUAGAUACCCUGGUAGUCCAUGCCCUAAACGAUGAGGACUAGGUAUUGGCUCGCAAGAGUCGGUGCCGCAGCUAACGCAUUAAGUCCUCCACCUGGGGAAUACGGCCGCAAGGUUGAAACUCAAAGGAAUUGACGGGGGCCCGCACAAGCAGUGGAGCAUGUGGUUUAAUUCGACGCAACGCGAAGAACCUUACCUGGGCUCGAAAUGCUACUGCAAAUCUAUGAAAGUAGAGUUCCCGCAAGGGACGGUAGUAUAGGUGCUGCAUGGCUGUCGUCAGCUCGUGUCGUGAGAUGUUGGGUUAAGUCCCGCAACGAGCGCAACCCUUACCAUUAGUUGCCAUCAUUCAGUUGGGCACUCUAGUGGGACUGCCGAUGAUAAAUCGGAGGAAGGUGGGGAUGACGUCAAGUCAUCAUGGCCCUUACGUCCAGGGCUACACACGUGCUACAAUGGCAGGUACAGAGGGCGAAACCGCAAGGUGAAGAUAAUCCCAAAAAACCUGCCUCAGUUCGGAUUGAAGGCUGCAACUCGCCUUCAUGAAGCUGGAAUUGCUAGU
This 1376-nucleotide ribosomal RNA is filed under the name uncultured bacterium. RNAcentral's name for it is "bacterial SSU rRNA". It matches the Rfam family "Bacterial small subunit ribosomal RNA", at positions 8 to 1339 of the family's 1533-position model. The record is from RNAcentral.